Molecule: small nuclear RNA, 107 nt
Filed under: Sus scrofa (pig)
Lineage: Eukaryota; Metazoa; Chordata; Mammalia; Artiodactyla; Suidae
Source: RNAcentral
GUGCUCGCUUUGGCAGCACACAUACUAAAAUUGGAACGAUACAGAGAAGAUUAGCAUGGUCCCUGCGCAAGGAGGACAUGCAAAUUUGUGAAGCAUUCCAUAUUUUG